Molecule: ribosomal RNA, 305 nt
Filed under: uncultured bacterium
Lineage: Bacteria
Description: bacterial SSU rRNA
Rfam family: Bacterial small subunit ribosomal RNA
Source: RNAcentral
GCCUACGGGGCGCAGCAGUAGGGAAUUUUCGUCAAUGGGCGCAAGCCUGAACGAGCAAUGCCGCGUGAACGAGGAAGGUCUUAGGAUCGUAAAGUUCUGUUGAAGGGGAAAAAGAGCGGAGAGAGGAAAUGGUCUCCGAUUGAUAUUACCCUUCGAGGAAGUCACGGCUAACUACGUGCCAGCAGCCGCGGUAAUACGUAGGUGGCGAGCGUUAUCCGGAAUGAUUGGGAGUAAAGGGUGCGUAGGCCGCCUGCGAAGUCUGGAGUGAAAGGUACCGGCUCAACCGGUACAGGCUCUGGAAACUG